UACGUAGGGUGCAAGCGUUGUCCGGAAUUAUUGGGCGUAAAGAGCUCGUAGGCGGUCUGUCGCGUCGGCUGUGAAAACCCGGGGCUCAACCCCGGGCCUGCAGUCGAUACGGGCAGACUAGAGUGCGGUAGGGGAGACUGGAAUUCCUGGUGUAGCGGUGAAAUGCGCAGAUAUCAGGAGGAACACCGGUGGCGAAGGCGGCCCGCUGGGCAACUGCUGACACUGAUGCGCGACAGCGUGGGGAGCAAACAGG
RNAcentral lists this ribosomal RNA (253 nucleotides) under uncultured bacterium. Its description in RNAcentral is "partial 16S ribosomal RNA". It matches the Rfam family "Bacterial small subunit ribosomal RNA", at positions 524 to 776 of the family's 1533-position model. The record is from RNAcentral.